UAGCGUCAUAGGCUACUGGAUAGCAACUAGAAAAUCAUAUCUCGGUCAGUGCCUGCCAUCUCGUUUCUACAACUCCGUUUGAGACACAUCGAGGAAGACCGAUGACUCACGGGACAUAAUCUCGGUCACCUGAUCUCGAGUGAUUUCUCCCUUUCAGACGAAGAUUUGAGGAUGAAGUCAACGUUCAUCGUGAUGUAGCUACGGCAGAACGUGAAUUCUGAUGGACAAAUACCUCGGACAUCCGGGAUCAUAUCUAGGUCAGUCGCUCUCAUCGCUCUUCUACAAUACGGAUUGAGACGAUAGUUAUGUUUAUUGAAAGGUUAGCAUUUCGGGUUUUUGCCAUUGAAUAGCCAGUUUUGUCUCUUCUAUGUUUACUGUCUCAGGUCAGUGAAAAAGGUGUCGUCGUACGAGACAUAAUCUCGGACACUUUAUUUUGAGAACAGACGCAUGAAUAAGAAUCUCUGAUUAGCAGGUGUGGUGCAAUUUGUAGUGCACUGUUCUUCUAGAGCUUUAUUGUCGAGAAUGUGUUUGUCAAACUACACUUUGGCAAGCGUUGCACAUAUAUGCUGCAACUGUACAUGUCAAUGUUACAAAUAGCUGACUCUGAAUUUCCACAUUUUGUGGCAAUUACGACAGU
Corticium candelabrum is the source of this 637-nucleotide long non-coding RNA. RefSeq lists it as uncharacterized. The record is from RefSeq and is a predicted model, not a curated record. Lineage: Eukaryota; Metazoa; Porifera; Homoscleromorpha; Homosclerophorida; Plakinidae. The transcript has 4 exons.